RNAcentral lists this ribosomal RNA (408 nucleotides) under uncultured bacterium. Its description in RNAcentral is "partial 16S ribosomal RNA". It matches the Rfam family "Bacterial small subunit ribosomal RNA", at positions 28 to 526 of the family's 1533-position model. The record is from RNAcentral.
GACGAACGCUGGCGGCGUGCUUAACACAUGCAAGUCGAACGAAGUGGCGAACGGGUGAGUAACGCGUAAUCAACCUGCCCUUCAGAGGGGGACAACAGUUGGAAACGACUGCUAAUACCGCAUACUGAAGGAGGAGAUUGCGUCUGAUUAGCUGGUUGGAGGGGUAACGGCCCACCAAGGCGAUGAUCAGUAGCCGGUCUGAGUGGAGGAUCGGCCACCUUGGGAAUUGGACACGGCCCAUGCUCCUUCGGGAGGCAGCAGGGGGGAAUCUUCCGCAAUGGACGAAAGUCUGACGGGGCAACGCCGCGUGCGUGAUGGCGGCCGUUGGGUUGUAAAGCUCUGUUAAUCGGGACGCGGUACCGGAAUAGAAAGCCACGGCUAACUACGUGCCAGCAGCCGCGGUAAUAC